GAGUUUGAUCAUGGCUCAGAACGAACGCUGGCGGCAUGCCUAACACAUGCAAGUCGAACGCGUGGCUUACGGCCACGAGUGGCGCACGGGUGAGUAGCGCGUGGGAACCUGCCUUCUGGUACGGGAUAACCGCGGGAAACUGCGGCUAAUACCGUAUGUCCCCUGAGGGGGAAAGAUUUAUCGCCGGAAGAGGGGCCCGCGUACCGAUUAGCUAGUUGGUGAGGUAAUGGCUCACCAAGGCUGCGAUCGGUAGCUGGUCUGAGAGGAUGAUCAGCCACACUGGGACUGAGACACGGCCCAGACUCCUACGGGAGGCAGCA
Molecule: ribosomal RNA, 320 nt
Filed under: uncultured Alphaproteobacteria bacterium
Lineage: Bacteria; Pseudomonadati; Pseudomonadota; Alphaproteobacteria
Description: bacterial SSU rRNA
Rfam family: Bacterial small subunit ribosomal RNA
Source: RNAcentral